Molecule: long non-coding RNA, 307 nt
Filed under: Cricetulus griseus (Chinese hamster)
Lineage: Eukaryota; Metazoa; Chordata; Mammalia; Rodentia; Cricetidae
Description: lncRNA (ENSCGRG00015033510.1)
Source: RNAcentral
CUGGGCUCGACCUCAAGAGUGAUGGGUUUGCCCUUCAGGGUCUUUACGAAGAUCAGCAUAUUGGCAUCUGCUUGGCCACCUCAUUGAAGAAAAAGUGUAGCCUCUUGAUUCUCAAUCAAAUUCUUGACCUUCCUAUCUUAGCCUCCAAAAUCCAAGGACUACAGGAGGCUGAAGCAGGAGGAUUGCUGUGAGUUCAAGGCUCAGCAUGGGUUGCAUAGUGAGUUGCAGACCAGCCUGAGGUACCAGAUUCUACUACUCCCAACAGUGCCUAACUGGAGGCCAGAAUUUGCCAACUGUGCCUUUUGGG